Molecule: RNA transcript, 4162 nt
Organism: Tupaia belangeri chinensis (Chinese tree shrew)
Lineage: Eukaryota; Metazoa; Chordata; Mammalia; Scandentia; Tupaiidae
Gene: CUNH10orf143
Gene name: chromosome unknown C10orf143 homolog
Exons: 5
Source: RefSeq, a predicted model, not a curated record
GUCAACUAUGUGGGAGUCCAGCGACAUAGCCAUUACGCUAACUGCUGGUUCCCACUUGUAAGAUUUUUAGAGAAAUCAGGAAAGAUGAUAGUCAAGUCACAUUAAGUCAGCAAGAUUUCAUUUAUACUCUCAUAAAGAAAGUAAUCUUGAAGGGACAAAUCUGCUCUUUAUUGUUGCUUCUUUCCUCCACUUUUUUUUUUCUGCCUGUAAAUGUCAUCAACUCUAUCUCAUCAGAAUGCCUUUCUAUUUUGUAGACUGGAUGCUGCCUAGUUUGUCAGCCAAUUAGAUCUUUGAAAUUUUGUUCUUUGACACAAUUGAAAAAUGGUCAUAAGUACAAAGACCAGUUAUAUUGAAACUGAAUAACAAAACAAGUCACCUAAUCUGAAUCACAAGAAAAACUAGUAACAUGUAGGUAGUAGUACAGUUUACAACAGUAUUAUUUUCAAUUAUAAAAUGUAAAAAGUUCUAAAACUCAUUAGCUUUCCCAAUUGAGCAAACACAUUUGAGCGAACACAAGACUUCUUGUAAUUUUCACAAAUUUCACUUUUGUGUGUCACCUUUAUAUAUUGCUACAUUGCUACUGAAAAAUUGAAUACAGGAUGUGGUCACAGAUCCUGCUGUAAGUGUUUCUUGCCUCAAAGAUAUUUGUUAUGAGACUGUGUACCAGUGGUAGGUAGCAGUAUUAGUCCUAAGAGUACUAGUAGUAGCAAUAUACCAAUCUUUGAGUACUUGGUUUAUAAUAGGCAUUGUUCUAAAUACUUUCUAUGUAAAUACCUCAUCAAAUCCUCAGAAUACCCUAAGAGUCGUCAAUAUCUUCUAUAAAUAAGGAAACUGAGGUAGAAUAGCCACUUAAUUUGCUUAAGAUCAUGCAGCAAGCAGCCCCAAAAACACUUGGAGCAUUUCACAAUAAUAGUUAAGAACAGACAGGCCUUUGCAAACAGUAUGAUACACAGCAACUCAAAUAACAAACACCAGAAGUCUGGAGAUUGUCAACCCUAGGUUGGUUCUGAAGGUCAAAUUGUUCCUUCCUAGGCGCUUUCCUAUUUUCCAUUAGAUUUCCCACCAUCGUGACAAUAGAACUGCAGCAGCUCCAGGAAGCUGACACCGGGAAGAUGGUAGCUCCCUAGCCACCCACAUCCCUUUUUAGCAGGUUGGAAAAUCUUGUCCAGAACUUUGCCUCCAAAGACCUCCUGUAGUGGCCAAAACUGAGUCACAUGGACACUACUAGCCAACCACUGGCAAAGGACUGGCCCCAUUUUAAUUUGCCAAAAAGGGCGCUGAGUCUGGGUACAUGGGUGCAGAACCACCGGAUUUCCGUAGUAGGGCAGGGAGGAAGAUGCUGGGGCAGAACAAGCCUGAACAAGUUGUUAAAGAAAUUCUCCCAGCCCUGAGUUCUCUGGGUAGACAGAUGAGGGUGCAGUGAUGGUUAGCAUACAAAUGGGCAAGGAGUUUGGACCGCCUGCUGUUCAGAGGGAUAGCUGGCUUCUCUAAGGCGGCAGUGCGGCGGAACCCCCGUGAGCGAGGACCUCGGCCCUGAUGUUGCCUCGGCGGCCCACGCUCCCUACAGUAGCAGCCCUCCUCUGAGCUUCAGUUUCCUCUUCUGCAUAGCCCGAGGGCUCCGGCAACUCAGCACCUGCGACUUCCUUGCGCCCGCCAGCCUGCGGAGAAAUGAGGUGCGUUCGGAGCCUCCCAACAAGAAGCCAUCCAACAGCAACGGUGCGCUGGGCAAAACCGGGCUUCAGAACACUGCGCUUCCCUCCGCCCCACAGUCUCCAAAGGGGCGAAAGAUACCCAGAAGUGAGGCGGCCUACGGAGAACUACAACUCCCAGAGACCCCCGCAGCUUCGCCACGUAUCAGCUAGACACAGAAAAACAGCUGUGAACUGGGUUCGGCGACCAGAGGCGAGGAGCUGUAGUCGAAGCGUGGCGUAAUCCUAAAAGAAUGGGUUCUUCGACCCCCACAUCUGCUUCUAUGAACAGAAGCGACAAGCCAUCUUCUGCGACACAAUGACCUGGGGCAGACGGACACCUGCAUUCUUGCCCCAACCCUAGAAGACUCUGGUCUCCGCUACUGAUGUCUGCAAUCCUGGUGUCCGAGGGCACUCGCUCUCCUCGCCGGCCUCGCCCCUUCUGCCUCCUCAUUGGCUCCCCGAGAUACGUGCGGAAGGGGGCGUGCCCGUGGGCGCGGCCAGGCGGCCCGGCUUCGGGGUGGGAAUGAGCAAAGUGCUAGGCUCUGGCCUGAGGCCGCAUGGACAGCCUGACUGUGAGCCGGUGGCGACGGAGGAGGCCGGAGGAGCUGCAGGUUCCGGGGGACGCGAAGCGGGCAUGCAGGAGAGUAGAAGCAAAUGGGCAUGAGUGUGGCUGGCACCAGGCGAAUGCAUGUGCACCGGCAUCCUGGGGCACAGAGGGCCAGGAGCCUCCGCUGAGAGGCUGCCCUCCUGCAUCGAGGUUGGAGAGUGGCCAAGGAAAGCCAAGUACAGUGAUUCCUCAGACUGGUGGAAGGAGCUCGGUCCAGCCUUGCCCGAGAUGUAUUGCGGGAGAAUCUGAUGCAGGGAAGUCGUCAUGGCCAAGACAGCUCUGUUUACCACCUAGCCCACGCCACCUUUCCUGAACCUUAGCCAGCUGAUGGAGACUUUUAUCAUCACGCUCUAAACCCUGCAGGACAGGGAUACUGGGCUUUGCCCUGCCUUGGUUGCUAUGUGUUGGCAUUAUUUGGCCAAGGGUGGCCCAGACUACCAGAUGCUGGCAAGACUUCUCAUUACACAGUGGUACAGUGUCUGGCCAACUGUCCAUCCUCAGCCAUCUGGUUGACCCGAUUCUUUCUGCAGGGACAUUUUAACCAUACUGGGAACCAUUAGAAGAUGCAAGCUGGACAGAGGAAGAUUCUGCUUUUGACUUUGAACCUUCUGUGUUACAGCAAAUAUGAAUCUCUUACAGAUGGGAUUGGGUACCCACCUGUUCAAAUAGCAGCCUGGUGUUUCUGCUGGGGGAUUGUUUAUCUAUUCAUUCAGGUUAUGCCACCAUACUCUCUCACAUGAGAGCUGGGAGAAUCCAUGUCACUUCAAAAGAACCUCCAAGUUGUUAUUACUCACUAUAGCCUUCUUUCAAAUGUAUCUUGCUUGAGGGAGAAAUCAAUUGCAUUAUUUAAAGGUGAAAAAAGAAAAACUCCAUAUCAAACUUCCUAUGAAGUUUGGGAACUUUGUGACUUAUGAAAUCACAUCCAGAUGUAGCCUUGAUUUUAUACUUUUCAGUUCUUCUGUGGAUAUAUCCAGGGCUGCAUAUGUACUUUUAAAAAUUAAAUAAUUUAUUUUUAUACUUAAAAUGCUCUAUAAUCUUGAAAUGAAUUUUACUGAAUGCUAGUAUCUGUUUUGUGUAAUUCUCCAACUGAAGUUAUCAGAGACAGGGACCCCUUUUAUAUUAAAAUGGAAAUUUUCUCAUUUUCUCCUGGAUUUUCUAUGUAUCCUUUGGCUGUGGAAAUUGGCAUUAUUUUCCUUGGGUUUGAAAGCUUCCUGAGAUAACCCUGGUCACUUGAUAGACAAGGACCUAAAGAAACCACUGGAUUAUAUAAUUGGUCUGAGGUUCUUCAACCUUCCAAAGCCAGAAGAGGGUGGGAUUUCCUAAUACACUCUUAUGUUUUCAUCACUUUAUUCCUUAGGACCAUGUUCCCUACCUGAGACCAUUCUCAGCACUGGGAUUUGGGAGUGCACAAUCCAUAAAUGAUCAUGGUAUGCAGUACUGGGGUGAAUUUCAUAUUAGAAAAAUGGAGCAUAGGAAGAUGCGAUGCUGAAACUACUGCCAUACCAUUUGUGGUGUCAAUUAUCUAAAAUUACUAGACAUCUCACCAUUACUCCUGCCUAUAAUCCCAGAGCUGUGACUAGAUUGGGAAGUCCCAAUCCAUGCCAGACAACCAAGGCUGAAAGAGAGGGAAAAGGUAUUGGAAUUUGUGGCCUUAAAAAAAUUUUUUUUGGAAGAGUUUUAGUUCUUCUCUUUUCAAAAUGAAAUCUGUAUGUUUAUGGAAGAAAAUUAAAACUCAGAUUUAGGAACCAACAACUGGCAUAAUAAUAGUUACGUCACUGGAGUCCCACGUAGUCAACUGCAGUUUGAGUCCCAGACCCAGUGGCUUAAAACUCACACGGGACUAGAAUGGAGAAGGGAUUGCUGU